This 536-nucleotide ribosomal RNA is filed under the name Trigonopterus sp. 880 AR-2022a. RNAcentral's name for it is "partial large subunit ribosomal RNA". It matches the Rfam family "Bacterial large subunit ribosomal RNA", at positions 1825 to 2625 of the family's 2925-position model. The record is from RNAcentral. Lineage: Eukaryota; Metazoa; Arthropoda; Insecta; Coleoptera; Curculionidae.
GGCUUGUUGAUAAUAAUUUUAAGUCAGGCCUGCCCUAUGAGGUUUUGAAUGGCUGCGGUAUAUUGACCGUACAAAGGUAGCAUAAUCAUUAGUUUUUUAAUUGAAAGCUGGCAUGAAAGGUUGAAUGAGAAAAUAGCUGUCUCUGUAAAAUUUUGUUAGAAUUUUAUUUUUAAGUGAAAAAGCUUGGAUUUAAGUAGAAGACGAGAAGACCCUAUAGAGUUUUAUAUUUGCGCGUGUGGGGUAUUUGUGGGAUUUGUAAUAUUUUACUAGUGGGAUUAUUUUGUUGGGGUGACAGAAAAACUAAUUUAACUUUUUAUUUAUAGGAACAUUGAUUUAUGAAUAGUGGAGCCUGGGAAUUAAGACCAGAAGAUUAAAUUACCUUAGGGAUAACAGCGUAAUAUUUCUUAGAGUUCUUAUCGAAAGGAAGGAUUGCGACCUCGAUGUUGGAUUAAAAUAAAUUGUUGGUGUAGGUGCUUGCUAAUUAGGUCUGUUCGACCUUUAAAAUUUUACAUGAUCUGAGUUUAGACCGGCGUGAG